This is a non-coding RNA of Ramularia collo-cygni, 74 nucleotides long. The record is from the annotation of a RefSeq genome assembly. NCBI's taxonomy places the organism in Eukaryota, Fungi, Ascomycota, Dothideomycetes, Mycosphaerellales, Mycosphaerellaceae.
GGUUGGGUAGCUCAGUGGUUAGAGCGCUUAGACCCUAGAUCUGAGAGACUGGAGUUCGAUUCUCUGUCCGACUG